This 2398-nucleotide long non-coding RNA is filed under the name Cyanistes caeruleus (blue tit). RNAcentral describes it as "lncRNA (ENSCCEG00000020830.1)". Lineage: Eukaryota; Metazoa; Chordata; Aves; Passeriformes; Paridae. The record is from RNAcentral.
CCUUUGUCCCCACUCUGGCUCAGCCGCUCUGAGUGGCCCUGGUGUGCUGCUUAUGGCUGCCUUUGAGUGAAUCUUCUUCAAAGAACUCCCACUGUUCUUUCUUUUGGAUUUGUUUUCAUCUGCCCUCCACUGGCAAUCUCACAGACAUCCAUGUGUUGGAAGGCACCCUUGAGGAUCAUUGAGCCUAAGUUUUGACUCCUCACUGGUUGAGCUACACGUAAAUCUCUGAGUCAGCGAGGUUGAACAGGUCCCUGAAGAUCAAACUGUCCAACUGCAACCUUAACACUGCCUAGUGCACCAAUCAGCCAGGUCCCCAGAUGCCACAUCCACAUGACUUUUAAACCUUUCUGAGGGUGCUGACUCAACCAUUUCUCUAGGCAGCAGCCUGUUCCCAAGCUAGAUAUCCUUUCUGUUGAAGGAAUAUUUCCUAGAGAUACAAUCUAAACCUCCUGUGGUGCAAUGUGAGGUCGUUCUCCGCUGGUCAUAUUGUUAGUUCUCUGGGCUAACCCUCACAUGACCCCCACUUAGCUACAACCUCCCUUCAGGAACCGUGUGCUUCGUGUCAGGUGCUUGGCCUGAGGUGAAGGCAGCUCCUCCAAGAGGAGAGAAAGGUGGUGCUUUUGCACUGCACUUCCCAAGAUCCAGCGGGACAAAAGAGGGUGUCAGUGGGGAGAAGAGUUUCAGGUUGCCCGGAAGCGUUUCCACGUGACGAGAACCUUAGUCCCAAAUACAUCAGCCGAGGAAAUCCGUCCCCUUCCAAGCAGAAGGAAAAAUGAGAAUUUUCCUUGUAGAAAAUGGGAAGGUUUGGAGUGAAAGUCCGUGCUGGAAUGUCCCCGGAUGUCCGUGUGGAUUUUGCUAACCUGCAAGGCCAGACUAUGAGGAGGGGAUCCCAAGAAAUGCCCUCUUGCUCAGGGGCCUUCCAUGGCACGGCAGCACAAAACAUGGAUCCCUGGGUUUUCUGGUUCUUGCUCUGGCAAAGCAUAGUCCAUUACCCGCAGCCCGUGGGUGAUGACUGGGAUGAGGAAACAUGUCUGCAGAUGGAACUGCGUGCAAAGCAGCUGGAAUGGGAGAGGCUUCUGCUGGAGCAGGAGGUGGAGCAGCUCAUCCUGGAGCAGAGUGCAGAGGAACAGUACUUGCAGCUCGUUUUUUUAGAUGUCAUGAUGGUAGAAUUUGAUUAGGUACCUAGUCAUGGAAUCCAUAAUGUCAUUGGUAUUUAUCAUCCAACCACACAGCUGGGCAUUCACUGUAUGAUACAAAUGGCUCUGGCUGUGAGCUUUGUCUGGGGAAGGAUCCUGAAUAGAUAUUUCCACUGUAAAUGUAAGAGAAAGAGGGGGGGAAAAAACCCAGUAGAUUGCAAUGCCUCUGUAGGUACUGUCAGUUUCAUUCUGAAAAAAAAAAAUCAGAGACAGAUUUAAGGGGAAGCCAUGAAGUUUAUCAGAUUCUGCCUAGGUUUAUUGCUGAAGCUGCAUAAAAAUAUUUAAAAGUAUUGUAAGAGGCCUAGAGUAACGUACCUCUAAUGCAGCUGUUCAAAUCUCAGUUUAUGAAGAAUUAACACCUGUCAAAACUUGGGUGGGGGGGAUUAAUAGCAGAUAGAAACAUAAGAUUUUUUCUUGACCUAGCUCUGACUGAAACCUUUAAUUCCCAUCCCAUUAAACAGUAGAACAACAGGAGCAUAGAGAACAGUGAGUUAUCUGGACUUGAUCCUGUAGUUAAUAUGACAUGAGGAAGAUGUUCAAAUUAGUGCCUCAGCUUUCUGUAUUCAGCCUGAGACAAAAACGAUCAUAUAAGAUAGUAUUUGCUGAAGAUCCUGACUGGCUGACAGUCACAGUGAAUUAUUUGAUGAACUGGCUUCCUUCCUCAUAGCAAGCAACUUUGAAGCCUUUAAAACUCAAGUAUGCUCUGAACAAUGAAAGAACACUGACACACAUUGCUGUAACAGUUAAAAUUACUAUUAUUUUGUGUGCCAUCCCUACAAGUUACCAUUUCCUUAGAAAAAUACAGUGAGAACAUUGGCUUUGCCAGUGCCUAACUAAGUGUCUUAGAUCAACCUUAACACCAAUGGCAAUGGAUCAAGCUGGCCCAGAAAUUAAGCAAUUGAAAUCUGGGUCACUAGUUGACCACUGUGUCAGCAAAAUACCAUGAGUGGCCUGCUAGGAAAAAUACUUCCAUAAACUCAUUCAAACAAAUUAUCCAGACCUCAUGUCAUUGCCUGGUUUUAAUACUUAUAAUAGUGUAAUUUUAUAUUUUAUAAUCUCUUCCAGGGUUUCCUAAUGCUAAAUGUUGGAUUAUCACAUUCAUGUUUCAUCCUGUACAAAGCAGGAAUUGUUCCCAGACUCCAUCAAACAAAAAAGCAUCUGGGACAACUCCAUGAUGAAUAAAAACAUGGGUUUUCUUUUCA